GCCCUGUUGAACUGACCGGGUUUAGAAGCUCGAGGCGAGGCCCGCCGGCUGGCUCCUUGACGCGCCACCGCAGAUUCCUCGACCAUCCUCAACGCUGCCAUCCCUCCUCCGGCAACCUGCUCUUCUUCUCCCCGGAGUGUCAGGUGGAAUCAAGCUUGAUUAUGAAAUCUUGGAAAGUAUAUAACACUGUUCUUGCAUGUUCAGAACUUACAUGCAAACUGACAAUAGGUGCGAGCUGCUCGAGCAUCAAGACCAGAUGUUGGCUCGUCCAUAAAAAUGAUCGACGGGUUAGCAACAAGCUCCACGGCAAUUGUAAGCCUCUUGCGUUGCUCAGUUGACAGACCAUUCACUCCAGGAAGCCCAACAAGUGCACCCCUCAAUGAUGUGAGCUCUACUAGAUCCAUGACCUCCUCGAUGAACAUCUGGCAUCACAGUUCAGCCGGAAGCCGCAGCCAUGCGGAAAAUAUGAGCGAUUCAUAUACUGUCACAUGUGGAGAAUGAAUAUCAUUUUGCUCACAGUAUCCUGAGAUACGUGCAAAGGUCUCUUGCUUCUUUGGAUAGCCUGAUACGGUGAUUUCUCCCUCUAUGUAUCCUCCGGUUUUCCUACCGGCUAAAACAUCCAUCAGGGUUGUCUUUCCAGCACCACUCACACCCAUUAAUGCAGUAAGUACUCCUGGCCUAAAAGAACCACUGACACCCUUUAAAAGCAACAAGCGGUCUUCCGUUACUCCUUGUGCUUUCAUUGCCUGUGAAUAUAAAGCAUUAUAACUGGGUAAGCAAACUUGGUUAAUGGGUACACAAUCAUACUUGUGCGAUCAUUGUUCAUUGAUAAGAAAUUUACCUCUGGCAUGUCCACCGAGUAUUUUGUGUCGUUAAAGGUAAGUGACAGUGGUGUAAAUGGAAGUACUAGUCCCUUCCUGCUGCCACUAGAAUCCACACCACUAAUCGCUGAGUUUCGGUCACUAAUGUGAGAUAAUUCCAGUUCUUGCGUCCUAGAAUUCUUUUCCUUAUGAUCCUCUAGAGCUUUACCACUUAAAUUUGCAUGUUUUUCUUUCAGUUCCUCUUCAGACAUUGAUGGGUGAGAGUCUGUCAACGCUGCAAAGAAAAGCAAGUGGCUACAGUUAUUAUCAUAUAAGGUUGAAGAGGAGAGUGUAUCCAACCAUGGCACCAAGCCCAAUCCAAUACCACUUGGCUUCUGUAAAGAUGCCACGACUCUUAAGCACGGCAGAGGGGACUUACUUGGUUCCAACUGGGUCCUAGAAAUUCGUUUGUUGAGAGAGCGUUUUGUGCAUAUGAUAGCGGAGAUAUCCAGUAACCCCAAAUCCACCACUUUUUGAUACUAGCUGGAAAUGAAAAAUAAGAUGGUCAUGUGAGCAACAAUUAACAUUUAGUUCCAUCAUUGUCGUGUAAACAUGGCAACAUCCAUUUUAUCAUGUCCGAGUCAGUAACUUACGUCUUGCAA
This is a long non-coding RNA of Triticum aestivum (bread wheat), 1462 nucleotides long. RefSeq lists it as uncharacterized. The transcript has 6 exons. The record is from RefSeq and is a predicted model, not a curated record. Lineage: Eukaryota; Viridiplantae; Streptophyta; Magnoliopsida; Poales; Poaceae.